UAUGGAGCAUUGUGCCAUAUAAGUGCAAGAGCUGGACACUCAAUGAGGCCAGUGAGAAGAAGAUUACAGCUUUUGAAAUGGAGCUCUAGUGAAGGGUCUCUUAGAAUCAGCUGGACAGAGUGAAGAGUCAAUUAAAUUGCAGCAUUAACAGAAAUUGAGAAAGUAUCACCAAUGGAAAAGACGGACUGGGAAUCUGGUGCUGGGAACAAGAGAAGGUGAAACAUCAGGAAAUGACAGCCCAGAUCAGAGGCAGGCUAGGAAAGGAUGGGUGGGCAACACAAGCUGGACAGAGGGAGGAAUGACAGCGACACUCAGAAUUGCAGUGACUUUGGCUAACUCUGAAUGAAUGGAUCGUGGUGUCAGUCUCCAUCAUCCUGAGAGAAUCGCACUGGUGACUGAUCCACUCUUUCUGGUAUACAGAACAGCUCAGUUUGCUAAUGUGUCAAUGCUGAUUGGACCGGGCACCCUUCUCCUGACUGGAAAGUCAAUCCACAAAUUAUGAAUUGUUAUAUAUUAGAAAUUGCGGAAAAACUGCAGAGGAGAUCAUUGCUACAUCCAGGCUAUCCAUCCCUGAAGUGAACAAUUGUGUCUUAUGCCUCGGGGUAUGCAGAGAGAUGAUACACUCCAGGUUCUAGCUGAGGAAAGAAAAUCACAUCAACAAAGCAGUAAACAGAAACAGUCAAACUUGACACAACAUAUAUUUUUCUACAUUAUGAUAGCAGCAUCCCAUGCAUCUAAGUCUGACUUUUUCUCUGACAUUCCCUCAUUGCCCUGUUUCUCCAAUCACUAAAAGAAAUGAUACGAGAAAGUGAUCCUCACUCACAGAUAUCAAUAAGCAAACAGCUUCCAUGGUGAGGGUGAUGAUGCCUUUCCUCACGGAUUCUGACAUGCUGCUGGCCAG
Molecule: long non-coding RNA, 901 nt
Organism: Carcharodon carcharias (great white shark)
Lineage: Eukaryota; Metazoa; Chordata; Chondrichthyes; Lamniformes; Lamnidae
Exons: 5
Source: RefSeq, a predicted model, not a curated record